GGACUCGUGGCUCAGCAAAAGAGCGCCUGUUUGGCAUGCAGGAGGUCCCGGGGUUCAAUCCCUGGCAUUUCCA
Molecule: transfer RNA, 73 nt
Filed under: Sphaerodactylus townsendi
Lineage: Eukaryota; Metazoa; Chordata; Lepidosauria; Squamata; Sphaerodactylidae
Description: tRNA-Ala
Rfam family: tRNA
About the family: Transfer RNA (tRNA) molecules are approximately 80 nucleotides in length.
Source: RNAcentral